AUCAGGGGUUUGCCAUGGUCAACAAUAAGCUACAAUGUUUUGUGCUCAAAACCUCGAUUCUCAUGAAUGUGUACCCUUAGCUUUUUCCUUGCUUUUCGGAUGACAGGCCUUCCUACCGCAGUUUAAUAACUGGGUAUUUGGCACUGCCCUCUUCCAAAAUAGAGGUGCGUAUUAAUGCAUUGAAUUGUAAGUUCUGAUAGAACACAAUUUCACGAUUUUCAACUCAACAUAUUGCUUUCAUUUUCUAAUAAUAUUGAUGGAAUUUAUGUUGCACAUAUAGGAUUGCAGGAAAAGGGAUUGAUGUAGAGAUGAAAGUAAAAUUCCCUGCCAUUUGUAUCUGCAAGGGUAGAUACAAAAUAUCCUACACAUGAAAGGAGAUGUAAUAGAUGCACCAUUCUUUUUUAAUUUUCAGGUUUACAUGCGAUUCCAGUUUCAUGUGUAAAUUUUCUGUUAAUCAGGUCCAAAGGAAGUUUUA
Molecule: long non-coding RNA, 475 nt
Filed under: Vitis vinifera (wine grape)
Lineage: Eukaryota; Viridiplantae; Streptophyta; Magnoliopsida; Vitales; Vitaceae
Description: long non-coding RNA (VVIN_LNC007365)
Source: RNAcentral